UACGUAGGGCGCAAGCGUUGUCCGGAAUUAUUGGGCGUAAAGAGCUCGUAGGCGGCUUGUCACGUCGGGUGUGAAAGCCCGGGGCUUAACCCCGGGUCUGCAUUCGAUACGGGCUGGCUAGAGUGUGGUAGGGGAGAUCGGAAUUCCUGGUGUAGCGGUGAAAUGCGCAGAUAUCAGGAGGAACACCGGAGGCGAAGGCGGAUCUCUGGGCCAUUACUGACGCUGAGGAGCGAAAGCGUGGGGAGCGAACAGG
Molecule: ribosomal RNA, 253 nt
Filed under: uncultured bacterium
Lineage: Bacteria
Description: partial 16S ribosomal RNA
Rfam family: Bacterial small subunit ribosomal RNA
Source: RNAcentral